Molecule: long non-coding RNA, 836 nt
Filed under: Androctonus crassicauda
Lineage: Eukaryota; Metazoa; Arthropoda; Arachnida; Scorpiones; Buthidae
Source: RNAcentral
AUUGCACUUCCAUAGUGUAUACAUAUCAAUGGACCUCAAUGGGUUAAAGCAGCUUGACUGUCUGAUAGGAUAUAAAUAUGCUUAUUGACAUAAUUCUAUCAAGAUUGAUUUGAACAUGUGCAGAAAUAUCAUUGAUUUCUACAUGAAAGACAAUGGCAAAUCAUCAAAGAGAAUAAGAAUAUGGCAUUUUAUUUCUCAUAGCAAACCUUUGCCCUUACAUCAUAAUGGUUCUGGGAUCAGCUGUAUAUAGACCAGUCUAAACUUUGAUACUGUGCUCAAAUCCAUCUCCCCAUCCCUCCAUGCUAAGAAAAAAAUCAUGAAUGAUCUGAAAAAGCUAAAUCUGGACACCAUGUAAUACUGAAUCAUCUCAAAAAUAUGACUGUGUGUCUUGUUCUAUUUAAAAGAGGAGUGCUCCAUUUUGUGAAACCAAGAAAUCUUUCUCCUACAAGAAUGAGCUAUAUAGCCCUUCGGGCACUAGUUUCAAUAUACAAAUGCAAAGGGGAAAUCCACAACAGGAUUCCAAGAGAAGCAGUAGGAGCAAGCCUUAUAAUUCUUGUGAUGCUCAGACAGGAUAUCCUUUUGAAUCUUUUAAAGUUCAGACCUUCCAAGUUUUUAAUAAAACUCUUUGCCACUAAAUAAUAGUAAAAUAGAUAAUAAUGUAUCUCAUAACCAUGACAUAUAUCUAAUAUAACAACCCUGGUUUGUCCCCAUGUCUUACCAAAUGCCCUGACAUCUUACUGUACACGAUCAUAGGAUUUUAUAGACCUUCACAAUAAUAAAGCCUGUAUGUGGUUCCCAAGUCAAUCUCUUUUCUAACAUAACAUCAAGGUAUUUGA